CCUACGGGUGGCAGCAGUGGGGAAUAUUGCGCAAUGGGCGAAAGCCUGACGCAGCGACGCCGCGUGAGGGAUGAAGGUCUUCGGAUCUUAAACCUCUGUCAGCAGGGAAGAACGGUCACUGUGCUAAUCAGCAGUGAAUUGACGGUACCUGCAAAGGCAGCACCGGCUAACUCCGUGCCAGCAGCCGCGGUAAUCCGGAGGGUGUGAGCGUUAAUCGGCAUUAGUGGGCGUAAAGCGCUCGUAGGCGGUAUGUCAAGUCAAGGGUGAAAUCCCCGCGCUCAACGUGGGAACUGCCUUUGAAACUGGCAAACUGGAGUGUGGGAGAGGAGAGUGGAAUUCCAGGUGUAGGAGUGGAAUCCGUAGAUAUCUGGAGGAACAUCGGUGGCGAAGGCGACUAUCUGGGACGUAACUGACGCUGAGGAGCGAAAGCGUGGGUAGCGAACAGGAUUAGAUACCCGGGUAGUC
This 465-nucleotide ribosomal RNA is filed under the name uncultured bacterium. Its description in RNAcentral is "partial 16S ribosomal RNA". It matches the Rfam family "Bacterial small subunit ribosomal RNA", at positions 338 to 795 of the family's 1533-position model. The record is from RNAcentral.